This 409-nucleotide long non-coding RNA is filed under the name Dasypus novemcinctus (nine-banded armadillo). RNAcentral describes it as "lncRNA (ENSDNOG00000052366.1)". The record is from RNAcentral. Lineage: Eukaryota; Metazoa; Chordata; Mammalia; Cingulata; Dasypodidae.
AGCUGACAAUGCACACAUUUUAAGUAUACAGUUAGUUGUGUUUAGGCAAAUCAGGAUAGUAAACAUUUUUAUAACUCCAGAAAGUUGCCUCAUCCAUUUUAUGCUUUUUAUUUUAAACUUUUUUUUUCCUACCAGAUGUUGAGACAUCUCACAUGAAAUCUGAAGAGCCUCCUGGGAAUCUUACUACUGUGAAUAGCCAUGAUUUCCUGGCUCCGAUAGACAGAAACUACUUUGUUAAAUUAUGGGACAAGCUUUCAGCCGGAAAAACACCAGCGGAGAGCGUUUCUCUGUAUAAACGGCAUGAGACAGCCCGGAAGGCCCUAGUGGGAAAGAUACCUGCUGAUUACACACUCCUGUUUCAUAGGUAAUGAUUUAUCAGAUUUAUUUACACCUGAGCAUCUGUAGAUUG